Molecule: ribosomal RNA, 765 nt
Filed under: uncultured bacterium
Lineage: Bacteria
Description: bacterial SSU rRNA
Rfam family: Bacterial small subunit ribosomal RNA
Source: RNAcentral
CGUUGAUACUGGGAUGCUAGAAUGCGGAUGCCGUGGGAGGAAUGUGUGGUGUAGCGGUGAAAUGCAUAGAUAUCACACAGAACACCGAUUGCGAAGGCAUCUCACGAAUCCGCUAUUGACGCUGAGGCACGAAAGCGUGGGGAGCAAACAGGAUUAGAUACCCUGGUAGUCCACGCUGUAAACGAUGAUGACUAACCGUCGGCGAUACACAGUCGGUGGCCAAGCGAAAGCGAUAAGUCAUCCACCUGGGGAGUACGACCGCAAGGUUGAAACUCAAAGGAAUUGACGGGGGCCCGCACAAGCGGAGGAACAUGUGGUUUAAUUCGAUGAUACGCGAGGAACCUUACCCGGGCUCGAACGGCAGGGGAAUGAUUCAGAGAUGGAUCAGUCUUCGGACUCCUGUCGAGGUGCUGCAUGGUUGUCGUCAGCUCGUGCUGUGAAGUGUCGGCUUAAGUGCCAUAACGAGCGCAACCCUUGCCGUUAGUUGCCAUCAGGGUUAUGCUGGGGACUCUAGCGGGACUGCCACCGCAAGGUGUGAGGAAGGGGGGGAUGACGUCAAAUCAGCACGGCCCUUACGUCCGGGGCGACACACGUGUUACAAUGGUGGGGUACAGAGGGAAGCUACCUGGCGACAGGAUGCAGAUCUCGAAAACCCAUCCCAGUUCGGAUUGGAGUCUGCAACCCGACUCCAUGAAGUUGGAUUCGCUAGUAACCGCGCAUCAGCCAUGGGCGCGGGUGAAUACGUUCCCGGGUCCUUGUACACAC